AUACGGAGGGUGCAAGCGUUAUCGGGAAUCAUUGGGUUUAAAGGGUCCGUAGGCGGACUAUUAAGUCAGAGGUGAAAUCCCACAGCUCAACUGUGGAACUGCCUUUGAUACUGGUAGUCUUGAGUUAUAUGGAAGUAGAUAGAAUGUGUAGUGUAGCGGUGAAAUGCAUAGAUAUUACACAGAAUACCGAUUGCGAAGGCAGUCUACUACGUAUAUACUGACGCUAAGGGACGAAAGCGUGGGGAGCGAACAGGAUUAGAAACCCUAGUAGUCC
This 274-nucleotide ribosomal RNA is filed under the name uncultured bacterium. Its description in RNAcentral is "partial 16S ribosomal RNA". It matches the Rfam family "Bacterial small subunit ribosomal RNA", at positions 523 to 796 of the family's 1533-position model. The record is from RNAcentral.